RNAcentral lists this long non-coding RNA (1723 nucleotides) under Canis lupus familiaris (dog). RNAcentral describes it as "lncRNA (ENSCAFG00030020918.1)". The record is from RNAcentral. Lineage: Eukaryota; Metazoa; Chordata; Mammalia; Carnivora; Canidae.
UCAGAUAAAGAACAAAUUUGAAGAGCAAAAGUUAGGGAUGGGAUCUUCAAGGGGGAUAUUAAGUAAUUGUCCUCAAGUUCAUAACCUUCAAACCUGAAUGGUGAAAAGCUCAAAUUUGGAGAGUCACAGCUGCUGGUUAAUCUAGAAGCUGUGCUUCAGUUAUUCCUUCAUGUAUCAUGAGUUCGUUCAUUCAAUAAACAUCUACUGAACUCCUACAAUGUGCAGAGUAGAACACUUCAUUUGGGCUAUGAAGACAGACAUGCUAGUUGUUGCUAUAAAACUAUAAAAUGUGUACAUAUACUAGGUUACAAGCAGAUAUGAUAUAAUCCAGACACAAUAUAAACAUAAACAAAGAGCUUAAGGACACUUGGAAAAAGGAACAAUCGAUUCUCUCUGGAAGCUCUGAUAGCUUUGUGUCCAGAGACGGGAAAAGAGGGAAGGGCUUUGAAAUGAUGAGAUGUGCUGGCAUUCGGCUGCCCGGCAGGGGCCAGUGGCCAGUGGCAGCCUCACAGUCAUCACUGGAACUACAAGCAGCUCUCCUUACAGGUGACCACACGUGCUCUUUUGCCUGGGGAUGGCUCUGGUUUAUACCGUGUGUACUGGUGUCAUUAUUAAUCUGGCUCCUCUUCGCUGUCCAGAGUGACUGUCUGCUUCCCUGGCGCUCUUCUGCAACCUGGUAGUGUUCAAUGACCAUGGGAUCUCUGGACGGUGCUGUGUACAACAUGCUGUGGACCGAGGGUGAGACAUCCAGGGGUGGAGCAUUCCAUAUCAGGAAACUCUGCUGUAGGCCUUGAACUCCAUAUGUUGCUGACUUUAGAGAAGAUGAAGUUUUGUUUAGUAAUUCACUGGCCGUCCUUUCCCUACAUUAGUGGACUUUCUAGUCAGUUGCCAUAUGUCUUCAUUGUUGCUUUAUUUAUUUGCUUUUCCAAAUAGUUGGUGGAUCUGCAAAAUAUUUGUAUAAGGAAUUCACCACGUCAUUGUCACUUUUGAAACUUCUCAUUUUCUACUUUAAGGAAAUGGAAGCACAGAAACAUGAAGUAAAUAGCCCCAAUUAAAAAUAGAUUUAUUAUUUGUCAUCAUGCAUUUCCCAUAGGCUGUGGGCUUAUCAUCAAUACAAGGUACAGCAGAAAACUCCUUGGGUGGGGAGUCCAGACAGCUGCACCUUCACAUUCCACCAUCCAUUAAUAGCUCCUGUAACUUUGCAGAAACUCAGGUGCCGGGUUUCUUCUGUUUAAAGAGGGCAUUGUGGGAUUAACUGUGUUUGUCUCGAUUCCAAAAUUCCAUAUUCCAAUAUUUAAGUUUUAUCUUAUUUCCAGUAUAUAGAAGUUUCUGGAACAAUAGGAUUAAGCAAUUUGACUUGGAGUAGGUGACCCAUUAGAAGCAGAGAUGGGAUCCUGGAGACCCUAUUUCCAAUCAGUGUCUUACCCUACUAGCCCCUUUAGAAAGUUCUGUCUUCCUUUUUGCAGGUUUUAAAGUUUUUCAAGAUUCAAAAUAACAUUAAAAGAUUAAGCCUAAUACCCCAUACCAGCAUUUCUUUUAUACGCAGGCCUCAAAGUUCAAUGGGGACUAAGACUUCCUAACAUCUCAGUGACCCCCCGCCUACAGAUAUAAGAAACUCAGCUCGGAAUAUACGGUAAGCAGGUAUGAUGUCCUUGGGAGCUGGAGACAGGGCUGAAUGCAUCCAGGACGGGCCUCUCUGCUCCAAAGCCCCCCACCCUCCCCC